Molecule: unclassified non-coding RNA, 401 nt
Filed under: soil metagenome
Description: partial contains 5.8S ribosomal RNA, internal transcribed spacer 2, and large subunit ribosomal RNA
Rfam family: 5.8S ribosomal RNA (bases 1-121)
Source: RNAcentral
GAUGAAGAACGUAGCGAAAUGCGAUAAGUAAUGUGAAUUGUAGAAUUCAGUGAAUCAUCGAAUCUUUGAACGCACCUUGCGCCCUUUGGCUAUUCCGAAGGGCAUGCCUGUUUGAGUAUCGUGAACACCUCAACUCUCAUGGUUUGCCAUGAUGAGCUUGGACUUGGGGGUUUUGCUGGCCUUCGGUCGGCUCCUCUCAAACGGAUCAGCUUUCCAGUGUUUGGUGGCGUCACGGGUGUGAUAACUAUCUACGCCUGUGGUUUUCUGCCAGAUAACCUUCAGCGAUGGAGGUUCGCUGGGGCUCAUAAAUGUCUCUCUUCAGUGGAGACAGCUUUUUGGACGUUUGAUCUCAAAUCAGGUAGGACUACCCGCUGAACUUAAGCAUAUCAAUAAGCGGAGGA